Molecule: ribosomal RNA, 459 nt
Filed under: uncultured bacterium
Lineage: Bacteria
Description: partial 16S ribosomal RNA
Rfam family: Bacterial small subunit ribosomal RNA
Source: RNAcentral
CCUACGGGUGGCAGCAGUGAGGAAUAUUGGUCAAUGGUCGGGAGACUGAACCAGCCAAGCCGCGUGAGGGAUGAAGGUACAGAGUAUCGUAAACCUCUUUUGUCAGGGAACAAAGGCGGGGACGUGUCCCCGGAUGAGUGUACCUGAAGAAAAAGCAACGGCUAACUCCGUGCCAGCAGCCGCGGUAAUACGGAGGAUGCGAGCGUUAUCCGGAUUUAUUGGGUUUAAAGGGUGCGUAGGCGGUCUGUUAAGUCAGCGGUAAAAGCCCGGGGCUCAACCCCGGCCCGCCGUUGAAACUGGCAGUCUCGAGUUGGAGAGAAGUAUGCGGAAUGCGCGGUGUAGCGGUGAAAUGCAUAGAUAUCGCGCAGAACUCCGAUUGCGAAGGCAGCAUGCCGGCUCCACACUGACGCUGAGGCACGAAAGCGUGGGUAUCGAACAGGAUUAGAUACCCUAGUAGUC